AGAGACAUAGUAUAAUUUAAUACAUUUCAUUUACACUGAAAAUAUAUUCUAAAGGUGGAUUGUCUUUA
This 68-nucleotide transfer RNA is filed under the name Mitromorpha fischeri. RNAcentral's name for it is "tRNA-Val". Lineage: Eukaryota; Metazoa; Mollusca; Gastropoda; Neogastropoda; Conidae. The record is from RNAcentral.